This 964-nucleotide ribosomal RNA is filed under the name uncultured bacterium. RNAcentral's name for it is "bacterial SSU rRNA". It matches the Rfam family "Bacterial small subunit ribosomal RNA", at positions 28 to 1027 of the family's 1533-position model. The record is from RNAcentral.
AACGAACGCUUGCUGCAUGCUUUAUACAUGCAAGUCGAACGGAGGCCCUAGCUUGCUAGGUGUCCUUAGUGGCGCACGGGUGAGUAACACGUGGGAACAUACCUCAUAGUACGGAAUAACUGCGGGAAACUGUAGCUAAUACCGUAUAUUCCAGUAAUGGGAAAGAUUUAUCGCUAUGAGAUUGGCCCGCGCAAGAUUAGUUUGUUGGUAAGGUAAUGGCUUACCAAGGCUACGAUCUUUAGCUGGUUUGAGAGGAUGAUCAGCCACACUGGGACUGAGACACGGCCCAGACUCCUACGGGAGGCAGCAGUAGGGAAUAUUGGACAAUGGGGGCAACCCUGAUCCAGCAAUGCAGCGUGAGUGACGAAGGCCUUAGGGUUGUAAAACUCUUUCAUCGGUGAGGAUAAUGACAGUAGCCGAAGAAGAAGGACCGGCUAAUUCCGUGCCAGCAGCCGCGGUAAUACGGAAGGUCCUAGCGUUGUUCGGAAUUACUGGGCGUAAAGCGCAUGUAGGCGGAACAGAAAGUUAGAAGUGAAAUCCCUGGGCUCAACCUAGGAAUUGCUUUUAAAACUUCUGUUCUGGAAUUCAGGAGAGGAAAAUGGAAUAUCCAGUGUAGAGGUGAAAUUCGUAGAUAUUGGAUGGAACACCAGUGGCGAAGGCGAUUUUCUGGACUGAUAUUGACGCUGAGAUGCGAAGGCAUGGGUAGCAAACGGGAUUAGAUACCCCGGUAGUCCAUGCAGUAAACGAUGGGUGCUAGUCGUCGGACUUAUGUUCGGUGUCGUAGCUAACGCGUUAAGCACCCCGCCUGGGGGAGUACGGUCGCAAGAUUAAAACUCAAAUAAAUUGACGGGGACCCGCACAAGCAGUGGAGCAUGUGGUUUAAUUCGACGCAACGCGAAGAACCUUACCAGCGUUUGACAUGGGAAGUACCGGUUACAGAAUAGUAACCUUCAGUUCGGCUGGC